RNAcentral lists this ribosomal RNA (374 nucleotides) under uncultured organism. RNAcentral's name for it is "partial 16S ribosomal RNA". It matches the Rfam family "Bacterial small subunit ribosomal RNA", at positions 527 to 896 of the family's 1533-position model. The record is from RNAcentral.
GUAGGUGGCAAGCGUUGUCCGGAAUUAUUGGGCGUAAAGCGCGCGCAGGCGGUCCUUUAAGUCUGAUGUGAAAGCCCACGGGCUCAACCGUGGAGGGUCAUUGGAAACUGGGGGGACUUGAGUACAGAAGAGGAAAGCGGAAUUCCAAGUGUAGCGGUGAAAUGCGUAGAGAUUUGGAGGAACACCAGUGGCGAAGGCGGCUUUCUGGUCUGUAACUGACGCUGAGGCGCGAAAGCGUGGGGAGCAAACAGGAUUAGAUACCCUGGUAGUCCACGCCGUAAACGAUGAGUGCUAAGUGUUAGGGGGUUUCCGCCCCUUAGUGCUGCAGCUAACGCAUUAAGCACUCCGCCUGGGGAGUACGGCCGCAAAGGCUG